RNAcentral lists this long non-coding RNA (462 nucleotides) under Populus trichocarpa (black cottonwood). RNAcentral describes it as "long non-coding RNA (PTRI_LNC001861)". The record is from RNAcentral. Lineage: Eukaryota; Viridiplantae; Streptophyta; Magnoliopsida; Malpighiales; Salicaceae.
UGCUCUUUCCACACGCCCAUCCUCGCCCCCAUCACACACACGGAUGCACAAGAUUCUUAGCAUUAAUCUUCCCACUUGGAAGCUUAAUUAACUAAUAUAUGUGCAGGUGUACUUGUGAGAAAUCAAUUGCUAACAUCACUCAUCUUGGCCCAUGAUCACCAUGGCCAUCAUGCGUCUAGCACCUUGUAAAGAUCCUCCCGAAUCCAUGUGCUUGCCCUUGAUCGUAUCUAUAAUUAAACAAGAUGGGCUAUAAAAACGUUCUUGUUGCUAAAAGAUUUCAUUUUUCUUAGUGUUCGAGCUGAGAGACCAUAAUUUACCCAUGUUAACUACUUGAGAAAGAUAACUACUGGCAAAGACAGGGAAAUUAAUGAAAGGCAACCCUAGAGAUAUCUUCCCUCACCUUACUUGAAGAGACUGUGCCCUUCACUUAGCUAGGCUGAUUAUAAAUUUGUUGGCCAAUUC